UGUUUUGAAGAACAUGAUUUUGGCCUUAAGUGCUAGAGAGUUCGUUCUUCCAUUAAACAUGUGAAGUAUCCUAACAUAAACUAUAUCUAGUUGGAUAAAACGACUUCGCUAUGCAACGUGCCGUUUUCCAUUCUAAUCCACGACUUGAGUGAAAAAGGCUCGUCGGUAAUUUCCAAGAUUCUAGCACCUCGAGCCCAAGUUCCAUAGCCACCAUACCCGGUAUGUCUAGCAUAACACAACCACAUCUUCUCAUAUGGGCAGCACCAAUCGAGCCCGUGGUUUGA
Molecule: long non-coding RNA, 284 nt
Filed under: Helianthus annuus (common sunflower)
Lineage: Eukaryota; Viridiplantae; Streptophyta; Magnoliopsida; Asterales; Asteraceae
Description: sRNA HanXRQr2_Chr14g0647311
Source: RNAcentral